UACGGGGGGAGCAAGCGUUGUUCGGAUUUACUGGGCGUAAAGGGCGCGUAGGCGGUCACGACAAGUCAGUUGUGAAAUCUCCGGGCUUAACUCGGAACGGUCAACUGAUACUGUCGGACUAGAGUGCAGAAGGGGCAACUGGAAUUCUCGGUGUAGCGGUGAAAUGCGUAGAUAUCGAGAGGAACACCUGCGGCGAAGGCGGGUUGCUGGGCUGACACUGACGCUGAGGCGCGAAGGCCAGGGGAGCAAACGGG
This 254-nucleotide ribosomal RNA is filed under the name uncultured bacterium. Its description in RNAcentral is "partial 16S ribosomal RNA". It matches the Rfam family "Bacterial small subunit ribosomal RNA", at positions 524 to 776 of the family's 1533-position model. The record is from RNAcentral.